CCAGACUCCUACGGGAGGCAGCAGUGGGGGAUAUUGCACAAUGGGGGGAACCCUGAUGCAGCGACGCCGCGUGGGUGAAGGAGUGCUUCGGCAUGUAAAGCCCUAUCGGCAGGGAAGAAGCAAGACGGUACCUGACUAAGAAGCCCCGGCUAACUACGUGCCAGCAGCCGCGGUAAUACGUAGGGGGCGAGCGUUAUCCGGAUUCACUGGGUGUAAAGGGAGCGUAGACGGCUGUGCAAGCCAGAUGUGAAAGCCCGGGGCUCAACCCCGGGACUGCAUUUGGAACUGUGUGGCUGGAGUGCAGGAGGGGCAGGCGGAAUUCCUGGUGUAGCGGUGAAAUGCGUAGAUAUCAGGAGGAACACCGGUGGCGAAGGCGGCCUGCUGGACUGUAACUGACACUGAGGCUCGAAAGCGUGGGGAGCAAACAGGAUUAGAUACCCUCGUAC
RNAcentral lists this ribosomal RNA (446 nucleotides) under uncultured bacterium. RNAcentral describes it as "bacterial SSU rRNA". It matches the Rfam family "Bacterial small subunit ribosomal RNA", at positions 331 to 793 of the family's 1533-position model. The record is from RNAcentral.